This is a long non-coding RNA of Numida meleagris (helmeted guineafowl), 1061 nucleotides long. RefSeq lists it as uncharacterized. The record is from RefSeq and is a predicted model, not a curated record. Lineage: Eukaryota; Metazoa; Chordata; Aves; Galliformes; Numididae. The transcript is spliced from 2 exons.
AUUCUUUUUCUCCCUUUGAAAUAUUUUGAGUUGCUGAAUUUCUCAUGAUGUUUCCCUGCUGCUUCUAACAAUUUUUUUUUUUUUAAAUGUAAAUUAGGCUGUAAAAUCUGUCUGGGGAAAUGUAUCUGCUCUCCCUGCUCUGUCACCAUCAUUAUUCUUCCUUUUUGUGUAACACUUCCUUCCAAGGAGAUGUACUUUGAACAUCUCCCAAACCUCCCAGUGAUGUCAGGAGAUGAAAGCUAUCCCCAUUACAACAGGGGAGACUGGAGAGAGCCAAGGUUGGAGGGAAACAUGGCCUUUAGAAAGUGACGCAUCUUGAGAGACAUUUCCCUUCCACACACUCUCCCAGGCCACAUGGGUGCUAUACAGAAGCAAAGAAAAACACAGUAUGCCUGAGGAAGGCUGUGGCUCACCAUCCACUUAGCCUGGCAUAUUCCCCUGCCUCUGAGCCCAUUAGGAGGGGUAAUGAGCUCUGAGUUCAUCUGAGAGACCUGCCUCUGCUUUUCACCAAGCUGGAAACCUGGGUGCAAGAACACCAUGCAGCAGCAAAAAGGGGUUCAACUCCACAUUAAAAACACCUCUUUGUUGGGGUGUUUCUUCUGAGUGUGGUGUCACGUAGGUGUGUGUGAAACAGGUGCACAAAGUCCUUCAGGGAGCUUGCCAGCUCUGCUGGAACACAUCUGCCUUUGGGAUGCUGAUAGACGAGGCGUUUUGUACAGCUGAGGGAGGAGCUGCUGCCACAGCACCAAAUGGAAGCUGGAAUUUGUGUUUGUUACGUCACCGGGACCCAUCUGAAGUCCAGAAUAAAAGAGCUUAUCCUCGCGAAUGACAGGCCUGGCAAACUGUGUGGAUUUUUCCAUGAAGACAGAUAAUAGAGCCUCACUAAUGCACCAGAGGGCUGAGUGCUGCCAUGAACUGAAGACCUCCUGCUUGGCCUCUAAUGGGCUUCGUGUGGGACUGCUAAUUCACCAGCUAAGGGGGUCUUCCCCAGGAAAAGCAUGACUGAAGCCAUUAGAUAGAAAUACCAAAAACAAAGCAAAUAAACACUGUGCCUGGAAGCA